CGGACGGGUGAGUAACGCGUAGGAAUCUGCCUGAUAGUGGGGGAUAGCCCGAAGAAAUUCGGAUUAAUACCGCAUAAUCUAUUCGUAGUAAAGUGGGGGACUUUCGAGCCUCACGCUAUCAGAUGAGCCUGCGUAAGAUUAGCUUGUUGGUAGGGUAAAAGCCUACCAAGGCGACGAUCUUUAGCUGGUCUGAGAGGAUGAUCAGCCACAUCGGGACUGAGACACGGCCCGAACUCCUACGGGAGGCAGCAGUGGGGAAUAUUGGACAAUGGGGGCAACCCUGAUCCAGCAAUACCGCGUGUGUGAAGAAGGCCUGAGGGUUGUAAAGCACUUUCAAUUGUGAAGAAAAGUUAGCGGUUAAUAACCGUUAGCCUUGACGUUACUUUAGAAG
This 391-nucleotide ribosomal RNA is filed under the name uncultured bacterium. RNAcentral's name for it is "bacterial SSU rRNA". It matches the Rfam family "Bacterial small subunit ribosomal RNA", at positions 99 to 487 of the family's 1533-position model. The record is from RNAcentral.